UCUCAAACUGGGGAACCUCAGCUACUCCUUGUUGCAGAGAGCAGAGAGAAAAGAGGGACAUAGGGAGAAGAGGGCUUAAGUCUCUUUGUGCCUUCUUCAGAGGGGGCACAUCUUCUUAGCGGACUACUGGAUCCUGGCGGAGGCCCCAGUCCAUUGCCUAAACGGCCGCCAACAGUACGUAACAGCUCCUCUCUGCCUGUUAUGGCUCAACCCACAGGGGGUGCUGCUGCCGUUGGCAAUCCAGCUCAGCCAGAUACCAGGGCCAGAGAGCCCCAUCUUUCUACCCACUGACUGCGAGUUGGAUUGGCUGCUGGCCAAGACGUGGGUGCGCAACUCUGAGUUUUUGGUGCAUGAGAACAACACGCAUUUUCUGUGCACGCAUUUGCUCUGCGAGGCCUUCUCCAUGGCUACACUGCGUCAGCUG
This 424-nucleotide long non-coding RNA is filed under the name Rattus norvegicus (Norway rat). RNAcentral's name for it is "long non-coding RNA NONRATT004437". Lineage: Eukaryota; Metazoa; Chordata; Mammalia; Rodentia; Muridae. The record is from RNAcentral.